AUUAGCUUGAUUGGUGGGGGUAACGGCCUCCCCAAGGCCAAUGAAUCCUUAGCCCGACCUUGAAAGGGUUAUUCGGCCCCCAUUGGGAUUGAGGACCCCGGCCCCAAAUUCCUUACGGGAGGCAGCCAGUAGGGAAUUUUUCCCCAAUGGACGAAAGUCUGAUGGAGCAACCCCCGCCUGAAUGAAGAAAGGGUUUCGGCUCGUAAAACUCUGUUGUUAAAGAAGAACAAUUUUGAGAGUAACUGUUCAGGUAUUGACGGUAUUUAACCAGAAAGUCAGGGCUAACUACGUGCCAGCAGCCGCGGUAAUACGUAGGUGGCAAGCGUUGUCCGGAUUUAUUGGGCGUAAAGCGAGUGCAGGCGGUUUUUUAAGUCUGAUGUGAAAGCCUUCGGCUCAACCGAAGAAGUGCAUCGGAAACUGGAAAACUUGAGUGCAGAAGAGGACAGUGGAACUCCAUGUGUAGCGGUGAAAUGCGUAGAUAUAUGGAAGAACACCAGUGGCGAAGGCGGCUAUCUGGUCUGUAACUGACGCUGAGACUCGAAAGUAUGGGUAGCGAACAGGAUUAGAUACCCUGGUAGUCCAUACCGUAAACGAUGAAUGCUAAGUGUUGGAGGGUUUCCGCCCUUCAGUGCUGCAGCUAACGCAUUAAGCAUUCCGCCUGGGGAGUACGGCCGCAAGGCUGAAACUCAAAGGAAUUGACGGGGGCCCGCACAAGCGGUGGAGCAUGUGGUUUAAUUCGAAGCUACGCGAAGAACCUUACCAGGUCUUGACAUACUAUGCAAAUCUAAGAGAUUAGACGUUCCCUUCGGGGACACGGAUACAGGUGGUGCAUGGUUGUCGUCAGCUCGUGUCGUGAGAUGUUGGGUUAAGUCCCGCAACGAGCGCAACCCUUAUUAUCAGUUGCCAGCAUUAAGUUGGGCACUCUGGUGAGACUGCCGGUGACAAACCGGAGGAAGGUGGGGAUGACGUCAAAUCAUCAUGCCCCUUAUGACCUGGGCUACACACGUGCUACAAUGGACGGUACAACGAGUUGCGAACUCGCGAGAGUAAGCUAAUCUCUUAAAGCCAUUCUCAGUUCGGAUUGUAGGCUGCAACUCGCCUACAUGAAGUCGGAAUCGCUAGUAAUCGCGGAUCAGCAUGCCGCGGUGAAUACGUUCCCGGGCCUUGUACACACCGCCCGUCACACCAUGAGAGUUUG
This 1198-nucleotide ribosomal RNA is filed under the name Lactobacillus sp. RNAcentral describes it as "bacterial SSU rRNA". It matches the Rfam family "Bacterial small subunit ribosomal RNA", at positions 240 to 1414 of the family's 1533-position model. Lineage: Bacteria; Bacillati; Bacillota; Bacilli; Lactobacillales; Lactobacillaceae. The record is from RNAcentral.